GACGAACGCUGGCGGCGUGCUUAACACAUGCAAGUCGAACGGAAAGGCCCUGCUUUUGUGGGGUGCUCGAGUGGCGAACGGGUGAGUAACACGUGAGUAACCUGCCCUUGACUUUGGGAUAACUUCAGGAAACUGGGGCUAAUACCGGAUAGGAGCUCCUGCUGCAUGGUGGGGGUUGGAAAGUUUCGGCGGUUGGGGAUGGACUCGCGGCUUAUCAGCUUGUUGGUGGGGUAGUGGCUUACCAAGGCUUUGACGGGUAGCCGGCCUGAGAGGGUGACCGGCCACAUUGGGACUGAGAUACGGCCCAGACUCCUACGGGAGGCAGCAGUGGGGAAUAUUGCACAGUGGGCGGAAGCCUGAUGCAGCAACGCCGCGUGCGGGAUGACGGCCUUCGGGUUGUAACCCGCUUUCGCCUGUGACGAAGCGUGAGUGACGGUAAUGGGUAAAGAAGCACCGGCUAACUACGUGCCAGCAGCCGCGGUGAUACGUAGGGUGCGAGCGUUGUCCGGAUUUAUUGGGCGUAAAGGGCUCGUAGGUGGUUGAUCGCGUCGGAAGUGUAAUCUUGGGGCUUAACCCUGAGCGUGCUUUCGAUACGGGUUGACUUGAGGAAGGUAGGGGAGAAUGGAAUUCCUGGUGGAGCGGUGGAAUGCGCAGAUAUCAGGAGGAACACCAGUGGCGAAGGCGGUUCUCUGGGCCUUUCCUGACGCUGAGGAGCGAAAGCGUGGGGAGCGAACAGGCUUAGAUACCCUGGUAGUCCACGCUGUAAACGGUGGGUACUAGGUGUGGGGUCCAUUCCACGGGUUCCGUGCCGUAGCUAACGCUUUAAGUACCCCGCCUGGGGAGUACGGCCGCAAGGCUAAAACUCAAAGGAAUUGACGGGGCCCCGCACAAGCGGCGGAGCAUGCGGAUUAAUUCGAUGCAACGCGUAGAACCUUACCUGGGUUUGACAUGGAUCGGGAGUGCUCAGAGAUGGGUGUGCCUCUUUUGGGGUCGGUUCACAGGUGGUGCAUGCCUGUCGUCAGCUCGUGUCGUGAGAUGUUGGGUUAAGUCCCGCAACGAGCGCAACCCUUGUUCACUGUUGCCAGCACGUUAUGGUGGGGACUCAGUGGAGACCGCCGGGGUCAACUCGGAGGAAGGUGGGGAUGACGUCAAGUCAUCAUGCCCCUUAUGUCCAGGGCUUCACGCAUGCUACAAUGGCUGGUACAGCGAGUGGCGAGCCUGUGAGGGUGAGCGAAUCUCGGAAAGCCGGUCUCAGUUCGGAUUGGGGUCUGCAACUCGACCUCAUGAAGUCGGAGUCGCUAGUAAUCGCAGAUCAGCAACGCUGCGGUGAAUACGUUCCCGGGGCU
Molecule: ribosomal RNA, 1346 nt
Filed under: uncultured bacterium
Lineage: Bacteria
Description: partial 16S ribosomal RNA
Rfam family: Bacterial small subunit ribosomal RNA
Source: RNAcentral